Molecule: ribosomal RNA, 329 nt
Filed under: uncultured eukaryote
Lineage: Eukaryota
Description: partial 18S ribosomal RNA
Rfam family: Eukaryotic small subunit ribosomal RNA
Source: RNAcentral
CCCUUAGAUGUCCUGGGCCGCACGCGCGCUACACUGAAUGUCUGAGAUACGAGUCUGCCUGGUCCGGCAAGGUCUAGGUAAUCGCUAAAAGACACAUCAUGCUUGGGAUAGAUUAUUGCAAAUAUUAAUCUUGAACGAGGAAUUCCUAGUAAGCGCAAGUCAACAGCUUGCGUUGAUUACGUCCCUGCCCUUUGUACACACCGCCCGUCGCUACUACUGAUUGGAUGUUUAAGCGAGGUUCUCGAACUGCUAGCGACUUAGCUUCGGUGAGGUCGCAGUGUGGGAAGUGAACCUAGCUUUGGUGUCUAGAGGAAGUAAAAGUCGUAACA